UUAAAACACAAUUCACCCAGCGUCAUUUCACUGUGCUUACCGAUCAGUGCUGUGGCCACUCACCGUGCCGCCUCUGCGUUGCCCACGGCGCCGUUUCCGUACUUAAGUCGCUGGCGCUCUGCCUACUAUCACCGCUGUUGUGCUCAGUGGCACAUUGCAUCUUUUCAAGUUCCAGGAUGUGGCAAAUGCUGUGAAAUCCAAAGCGAAAGAACCCCCAAAACCCAAACGACGACGAUGACGAAGAAGAUGGUGAAGUGAAAGUUAUCGUUCAUCGUGCUGUCAUUGGUUGAGCUUAAAGAACUCUCUAAUAUCUGUUAUGCACAUUGCAUCUUUUCAAGUUCCAGGAUGUGGCAAAUGCUGUGAAAUCCAAAGCGAAAGAACCCCCAAAACCCAAACGACGACGAUGACGAAGAAGAUGGUGAAGUGAAAGUUGUCGUUCAUCGUGCUGUCAUUGGUUGAGCUUAAAGAACUCUCUAAUAUCUGUUAUUUGGGUAGCUUCGUGGAUUUGUUCGUGAAAAGAAUUCAGACUGGAUGGUGCUUUCAGAGCUAUCGAGGGAUUGGAAUUUCGUGUUGUAGUUUUUCUUUUUGACUGGACUCUCUUCCUUUUCUUCUACUUAAAAACCUCUCAUCACAUACGACCCUCUUUUUCCUCUUCUUGUAUUCCUUAUUCUUAACCAUGUUCAAAAGAUAAUAGUGAUUAUUAUUUGUGGUUGCUGGCUGGAGAAGAUUUCUAUUUAUAUACUCUUUCACAAUAGCGGCAAUGUCGAACUGAGAGAUGGGUUGGCUGGUGUCUCUACCGAUGGACUCCAAGAACUGAAUUAGGGGUAGCUGGGGGACUCAUUUUCUAUGUUGUUGUUGUGCUGCUUUUGCCUCUGUUUUUGCAUCUAGUUUUUGUGAUUUGGAAGGUGUUGUUAAUUGAUGCCAUUGGGUAGCUGCGUGGAUUUGUCCGUGAAAAGAAUUCAGAUUGUAUGGUGCUUUCAGAGCUAUCGAGGGAUUGCAAUUUCGUGUUGUAGUUUUUGUUUUUCGACUGGACUCUCCCUUCCUUUUCUUCUACUUAAAAAAGUUUGUUUCAUUAAAAAAAAAAAGGAUGGAAGUGAGAAAACGUUGGAGCCUUUCAUGUGGG
This is a long non-coding RNA of Morus notabilis, 1123 nucleotides long. RefSeq lists it as uncharacterized. Lineage: Eukaryota; Viridiplantae; Streptophyta; Magnoliopsida; Rosales; Moraceae. The transcript has 4 exons. The record is from RefSeq and is a predicted model, not a curated record.